AGAUUAUUUUUCCUUGUCUCCUGUUUCUGUAGCAACCCAGUGCUGCCCUGGCUCUUCAUCUCUGCAAUGUGGACCAGCAGCCCCUCGCUGCAGAUUCCAAGGCCAUGGCGCUCAAUGUAGGGCAGGAACUUCAUCUCUGCAUCCAGUUUAACCCAGUUUAUGAGAACAAUCUGAAUAGCUGGGUGGCCAAGAGGGUUCUCCAGGAUGUGCUUCAUGGAGCAUCCUCAAGAGGAGCAGGUCACUGUUCAGGGAGAAGUCUACAUCCCAAAUCUCCAGACCCAGGCCAUGGACUUUGGCUGCAACAGGAAUGACACUGAACAAGUGCUGUAUAUGGAGAUGACCAACUGCAGCCCAAUUCCUGCCCAGUACCACUGGUCAUUCCAGACAGACAGCCAGACACCAUCAGCUUUACCUUCUCCUUCCGUGCCCCACGGUGACCUGCUGCAGAAUCCCACCUGGAGGCUGCGCUGGGGCUUCUCUGCCUGCCCGGGAUGCGCCUCACCAUCGCGGGCCGGUGGAGACACCUUCUGGGGGCCAGCAGAAAUGGUUCAGAUGAGCGGGAACGUUUCCUCUUAGAGAAUCAGGAGCUCACCUGAUGCUUAUAAAUCCCCUGGCUGCUGUGCAAAGCAUGAGGAACGAGAAGAUUUAAUGGCUUCUGUCGUCUGUACAAUCAGUGCAAGUCAGAAUAACCACAAUAAGGUCAGUGGAGGCUACUUCCAGGGUCAUAUUUUGUCCAGAGAGGGAAGUUUGGCUGCAUAAGGAUGAUCUGUACAAGGACCUGCUGUGCCAGCCUGCAGUGCUGAUUGUGGCUGGCCCUGGUCCACCUCACCUUGGAGCAAGUGGCAGAGGAGCUUUAGCACCUGCACCCUGAAAAACUGGAUGAGCUACAUCCCAUAGGAAUACUCUGGGAGAGGCAUGAGCCAUGUUGGAUGAAGCCUGAGGGGCCUCAGACCCUUCCCUGACUUUUCUUUUUGAGAUUAAUGGUACAGUUGUGGUCUGUGGGUUUCAGCAGGAGUUGAGGACUCUCAGUGAACUCAAAAAUCAAAUCUUACAAACAUCUUUGAGUUGUCCAUGGCUUGCUCCAAAGUGCCCUUUUAAUCUGCAUCUGGUAGCCUGAAGGAGCAAUUCAAAGUGCUGAUAUCAUGUAAGGCCAUUUAAAUACCUCCUGGGUGUGUGGUCUCUGGUGCUUUGUCCUGGGAUCCCCUGAAAGAGUUGGUGCUCUGUCGGGAGGCUGGUUUUCACACAGUACCCUGGCUGAGCCUAAUGGGUGGUCCCUGGGGGCCUGCUCUAGGGAAGCGGUAUCGACACUGUUGACUGUCCAGGAGUUGGCCUUGAUGGUCCUUGUGGGUCCUUUCCAAAUCAGGAUGUUCCAUCAAACCCUUGGAUUUCAUUUGGAAGGGGGUUGGUGGCUUGUGGUGCAUGUCCUCAGUGCUGGCAGGGACCUCAGGCACUGUCAUUACCUCUCUGUCCUGAUGUUGGUGGCUCUUACACAGCCUGAGCUGGCAGGGUCGUGUCAUCCCAUGUGACUUCACAUGAGGCUUGCAGAAGCAGUGUGAUUUCUAUCUGCUCUAUUUUG
Molecule: long non-coding RNA, 1576 nt
Organism: Junco hyemalis (dark-eyed junco)
Lineage: Eukaryota; Metazoa; Chordata; Aves; Passeriformes; Passerellidae
Source: Ensembl